ACAAAGAAGAGUUUGAUCCUGGCUCAGGAUGAACGCUAGCGAUAGGCCUAACACAUGCAAGUCGAGGGGCAGCAUGGCGGUAGCAAU
This 87-nucleotide ribosomal RNA is filed under the name Dysgonomonas sp. PH5-45. RNAcentral's name for it is "partial 16S ribosomal RNA". It matches the Rfam family "Bacterial small subunit ribosomal RNA", at positions 1 to 87 of the family's 1533-position model. Lineage: Bacteria; Pseudomonadati; Bacteroidota; Bacteroidia; Bacteroidales; Dysgonomonadaceae. The record is from RNAcentral. RNAcentral also lists the same sequence under 1 other name.